RNAcentral lists this ribosomal RNA (1359 nucleotides) under Dreissena polymorpha. RNAcentral describes it as "16S ribosomal RNA". The stretch from base 985 to 1305 matches the Rfam family "Bacterial large subunit ribosomal RNA", at positions 2074 to 2646 of the family's 2925-position model. The record is from RNAcentral. Lineage: Eukaryota; Metazoa; Mollusca; Bivalvia; Myida; Dreissenidae.
UUCCAAGAAAAAGGCCCAGCAAAGUCGAUGGCUAUUUUAGUAAAAGACAUUUUUUUCGAAAAUUUUCUAAGAAAAGUAUAGAGAUAGAAAGGAAAUAUAUAUAAUUAUUAUUAAGGACAAUUAAAAACUAGAUAGACAUAUUCAAAGCACGUACUUUUUGUAUCAUGGCUCGUGGAGAAAAAAAAAUUAUUUUAAAACCCGAAAACUUUAGAGCUAAUUAAUCUAACUUUAUAUUAUAAAAUAUAAGAAUUUUAUUAUUGCAAAAAUAAUGAUAAAGGUUUAUUAGAAAUGAUACGUUAAUCAAAAAAGUUGAUAGCUGGUUGGAGGGGAAAUAUAUGUAAGUAUAGGCUAACCUAAUCUUUAUUAUUAAAUGAGUUAUUUGAAGAAGGUUAAGCACAGUUUUUUGGGGAUCAGCUCAAAAAAAUUAUAUGUUUGUAUGAUAUAUGAUGUAGUAGGGGUAAGAGUACCCAUCUAUUACAAUUUUCUGAAUGUCACAGAGAAAAUAGUUUAUUUAGUACCCUUCUCUUUCAAAAAACAUCUUUGGUAUAUUUAGCACUAGAUAUGAUAAGUAAAUAUUUAAACUUUCAUUUCGUUUUAAUUUAAAAGAUACCAAUCAAUUCAAGAUUUGUUGUAAAUAAAUAUUAAUAUUACUUAUAAAUAAAGAAGGUUUUUCUACUCUUUAACAUCCCCGAUGAAAAAGCAAAAGUUUUCUAUUCUUUAUUUUGUAGCUUUAGUAAAUUAUAAUAAAGGAACUCGGCAAACUUAUUCUCCGCCUGUUUAUUAAAAACAUCGUCCUUAGAAAAAGAAUAAGGAUAGCGCCUGCCCGGUGACGAGAGUUAAACGGCCGCAGUUAAUAGCUGUGCUAAGGUAGCGCAAUCAAUUGUCCCUUAAUUGAGGAAUGGUAUGAAUGGCUGUACGUGAGAUAAGCUGUCUCUAUUAUAAUAACAUGAAAUUUUCCUUUGAGUGAAAAGACUUAGAUUUUUUUAAAAGACGAGAAGACCCUAUCGAACUUAAUAGUUUUUAAGAGAAAUAGCUUAGAAAGAAGUUUUACUGGGGCAGUAAGAAGAAAAAAAUAAUUCUUCCUUGAAAAAAAGAUCCCUUAUUAAGGACAAAAGAAAAAGUUACCGUAGGGAUAACAGCGUUAUCGUUUUUAAGAGAACUAAUCGAAGAAACGGUUUGCGACCUCGAUGUUGGAUUUAAAUUUCUUCCUUGGCGCAGUAGUUUGGAAAGUAGGUCUGUUCGCCCUUUGAAAUUUGACAUGAUCUGAGUUUAGACCGGCGUAAGCUAGGUCAGUUUCUAUCUUUAUAAUUAAUAAUCAUUGUACGAAAGGAUCCGAGUAUUUAGUCCCACUUUUUCUAU